AGAUGAAAAAAAAUUAUUGCUCUUACAGAUGUGUAUAAGAAAAACACGUCAAAUGUUCUUCAAGAUUCUCCAUGGCUUUAUGGACCGACAUGGAGCUGCAUAUGUGAAAAUUGUUCUCUUCCCCAUCUCACAACUUCAAUUUUCUGCUCCUGCAAUUAGGGGUGGCAGAUGGGUCGUGUCGGGUCAUGUUUGUGUUGGGUUUGUAUCGUGUUGCGGGUCGAAACAGAUCAACCCAAGUACAACCCGAUUGUUAAACAGGUCAACCCGGGUCAACCCGAUCACAACCCUGUUUAUUUAGCGGGUAAACACGUUGACACGCUUCUCUUCUCCUCUUCUCUUCUCUUCUCUCUCCGCCUCGCAAACCAACUGCCAAGUGCCAAUUCUCUACCUAAAAUUCUAAUUGAAUGGUAGACAUAAUAUUUUUCAUACCAGACAAAGAGAUAUGUUUUUAAAAAAAAAAGAUAUGUGUGAUGAAAUUUGCAACAUAUCUGAUCGAGAGAUCGAGAGAGAAUUACAUAUUUGAUAGAGAGAGAGAGAGAGAGAGAGAGUUACAGAUCUGAUAUAGAGAGAGAGUGUUACAGAUCUGAUAGAGAGAGUGAGAGUCAGAGAGAGAGAGAUACAGAUCUACUUGUUUGUUGGACAUGAGAUCUAAUCUUCCUCCAUUAGAUAUAAAAAAAGAAGAAGAAGAAAAAAAAUCUACAAUAUCUUUUUUUUUUUUCUUUGAAAUCAUGGUUUUGAUUGAUUCAGAUUUCGAAUGACACGAUUGGGUUUACAGGUUAAACACGACACAACCCAAUUUAGUUAGAGGGUUUAGCGGGUCAAACACGGUUAUAACACUAAGCAGAUAACAUGUCAACCCAAACACGGGAAAAACCGGGUCGUGUUCGUGUCGGGUCAGUGGGUACGUGUCAAAACUGCCACCCCUACCUGCAAUUGUGUUUUAACAUGCAUCAACGACAAAAAAGGUAAUCCUUUGAUUCUCAUAGAUAAUAUUUUCGUUUUUAAUUCAUGAUGCUUAGAUAUUAAAAACAACAUAUGCCAAUGAAAAGGUAGUAACAUUUAUAUAGAUGAGCUCUUCAUUGCUACUUUAUAUUUGAUUCAUUUCAAGAGAUGAAUUGUCCAAAAGUUUAAUUUGAAACGAAAGAUGAGUUCAUGCAAAAUCACAGUUGAAACUUGUGCUUAUUAUUUUUUAUUUUCAUAAUAUAGCAUGCUUUGUAUUGUGGCUGCAAAUCAAUGGCAAUUGGGUGAAUGCAAUGGAUUCAAUUCAGCCGUUCAACAAGGAACAUUGGAUAUAAUGAAGAACUUAAACAGUUAAAGUGCUUAAAAAAUAAUAAUAAUAAAAUUCUAUAAGUAAACGGACCCAAUUGAUUGUAGAAUAUGUUUAUCUUUAUGCAGCAACAAGGAAACUAAUAGGAGCAAACACGACUACACAAGCAACUAGACCAUUAGUAGAUGUAAAUGACAGAAGGUGCAACCAAGCAGCAGUAGCAGGCAAGUGGACCACAAACAAAAACUAAGUGUAUAUCAACAGCAAAAGCAACAGGGGAG
Molecule: long non-coding RNA, 1548 nt
Filed under: Aquilegia coerulea
Lineage: Eukaryota; Viridiplantae; Streptophyta; Magnoliopsida; Ranunculales; Ranunculaceae
Description: long non-coding RNA (ACOE_LNC001839)
Source: RNAcentral